GGUAGGGAUUAGACGCUUGAAAAUACUCAUGCUGGAAAUGAUCCUUUCAGCAACAAAUGGUGUCAAAAUUCAACCGAGUCUUCGAAUUUAAGCAUUACUUGAAGGCACUACAAUAUAUAAUGCAAAAAGUUCAUAAAUUAUAGCUCACACAAAGAAUGUAAGAAGUUAUCAACAGGAAAGUUCAACUAGAUAUAAAAACUAAAAAUAGCAGCUUUAUUAAGUAAAACAGUUCGUAUUUGCAAGCGGCAUCGUCACCAUAAAGUUGCUGUCUUGCCGCUGUUCAUCACUUGCUUAACCCAGAAAGGCUCAAAACCUAGUGGCAUUUUGUUAAAUAUAUCGUGAAAUGUGAGUUUCUCGGUCACGGGCUUACUAAGUUUUAGCACAACUGUUCGCAUUAGUUGCGCAAGAG
This 409-nucleotide long non-coding RNA is filed under the name Panax ginseng (ginseng). RNAcentral's name for it is "long non-coding RNA (PGIN_LNC014466)". Lineage: Eukaryota; Viridiplantae; Streptophyta; Magnoliopsida; Apiales; Araliaceae. The record is from RNAcentral.